ACAUUUGGUGUAUGUGCUUGGCUGAGGAGCCAAUGGUGCGACGCUACCAUCUGUGGGAUUAUGACUGAACGCCUCUAAGUCAGAAUCCCCCUAAACGUAACGAUACCCUAGCGCGUGGCUCCAUGGUUGGCCUGGGAUAGCCGGCCCCCGGUGGGGGGUCGGUGCGGAGUGCCAUUCGUGACUGGCUCGGAGGGCGGACAGAAGGGCUUCCGCCUCUCUCGCCUCUGACGCACCGCAUGAUCGUGUCGAACCCGGUGCUAAAUGACAUGCAGACGACCUGAUUCUGGGUCAGGGUUUCGUAUGUGGCAGAGCAGCUACCAUUGUUGCGAUCUAUUGAGAGUCAUCCCUCGAUCCAACCUUUUGUC
This 365-nucleotide ribosomal RNA is filed under the name Acipenser fulvescens (lake sturgeon). RNAcentral's name for it is "eukaryotic LSU rRNA". It matches the Rfam family "Eukaryotic large subunit ribosomal RNA", at positions 3056 to 3401 of the family's 3401-position model. The record is from RNAcentral. Lineage: Eukaryota; Metazoa; Chordata; Actinopteri; Acipenseriformes; Acipenseridae.